GAGUCGAGCCUGCCCAGUGAUAUAUAUUUAACGGCCGCGGUACUCUGACCGUGCAAAGGUAGCAUAAUCAUUUGCCUUAUAAUUAAAGGCUAGUAUGAAUGGUUUGACGAAAACAAUGCUGUCUCUUUCUAAUUUUAUAUAACUUGAUUUUUGGGUGAAGAAGCCUAAAUUAAAUUGAAAGACAAGAAGACCCUAUCGAGCUUAAAAAAAUUUUAUUAAAUAAAUAACUAUAAAAAGAUCAAGUAUAAUAAAAAAUUUUAGUUGGGGCGACUAAGGAACAAAUAAAGCUUCCGUUAUAAUGUUGAAAGCCCUUUAGCUAUGAUCCAAAACUUUUGAUUAAAAGAAUUAGUUACCGUAGGGAUAACAGCAUAAUCUUUUUUGAGAGUUCUCAUCGAAAAAAAGGUUUGUGACCUCGAUGUUGGACUAGAAUAUCCUAAAUGAUGCAGAAGUCUUUAAGGGUUGGUCUGUUCGACCAC
This 476-nucleotide ribosomal RNA is filed under the name Hadopyrgus ngataana. RNAcentral's name for it is "partial 16S ribosomal RNA". It matches the Rfam family "Bacterial large subunit ribosomal RNA", at positions 1850 to 2588 of the family's 2925-position model. The record is from RNAcentral. Lineage: Eukaryota; Metazoa; Mollusca; Gastropoda; Littorinimorpha; Tateidae.